Molecule: long non-coding RNA, 401 nt
Filed under: Chinchilla lanigera (long-tailed chinchilla)
Lineage: Eukaryota; Metazoa; Chordata; Mammalia; Rodentia; Chinchillidae
Description: lncRNA (ENSCLAG00000022226.1)
Source: RNAcentral
GGCUUUCUUACAUUAAGGAAGACAUCAGACCACUUACUCAGUCCGAGGUUUUCUUAGAUGGAAAAAUAUAGCAGCCAAAGAUUGUUUCAAAUUACAUCUCAAAAUCACAAAAUUCUUCCCCAAAUUUGUAAAGCCCCUACUGUGUGUCUAUCCUCCCGGAAAGAAAUGGGAAGGGAAAGCAGAAAAGCAGAGGACACACGUUGGCUAAAUUUGUCCCAUUCCCUGGAGCACAGUCGCUUCCUCAAAACCGCACCAGGAGAGCAUUUCUGGUUUCUCAUGUGUCUGUGCUGUAUCCUACAGGUACGUCUGGGUUGAAAGGAGACUGGGCAAUCACAAAGUGUCUCUCUGGGUAUAUUAUUACCUCCCUGAAAGCAUGAGGGUUAUCUUUAUAUUGAGAAAGG